RNAcentral lists this ribosomal RNA (468 nucleotides) under uncultured bacterium. RNAcentral describes it as "partial 16S ribosomal RNA". It matches the Rfam family "Bacterial small subunit ribosomal RNA", at positions 28 to 507 of the family's 1533-position model. The record is from RNAcentral.
GACGAACGCUGGCGGCGUGCUUAACACAUGCAAGUCGAACGGAAAGGCCCUGCUUUUGUGGGGUGCUCGAGCGGCGAACGGGUGAGUAACACGUGAGUAACCUGCCCUUGACUUUGGGAUAACUUCAGGAAACUGGGGCUAAUACCGGAUAGGAGCUCCUGCUGCAUGGUGGGGGUUGGAAAGUUUCGGCGGUUGGGGAUGGACUCGCGGCUUAUCAGCUUGUUGGUGGGGUAGUGGCUUACCAAGGCUUUGACGGGUAGCCGGCCUGAGAGGGUGACCGGCCACAUUGGGACUGAGAUACGACCCAGACUCCUACGGGAGGCAGCAGUGGGGAAUAUUGCACAAUGGGCGGAAGCCUGAUGCAGCAACGCCGCGUGCGGGAUGACGGCCUUCGGGUUGUAAACCGCUUUCGCCUGUGACGAAGCGUGAGUGACGGUAAUGGGUAAAGAAGCACCGGCUAACUACGUG